Molecule: ribosomal RNA, 301 nt
Filed under: uncultured bacterium
Lineage: Bacteria
Description: partial 16S ribosomal RNA
Rfam family: Bacterial small subunit ribosomal RNA
Source: RNAcentral
CAGUAGCCACGGUAAUACGUAGGUGGCAAGCGUUAUCCGGAAUUAUUGGGCGUAAAGCGCGCGUAGGCGGUUUUUUAAGUCUGAUGUGAAAGCCCACGGCUCAACCGUGGAGGGUCAUUGGAAACUGGAAAACUUGAGUGCAGAAGAGGAAAGUGGAAUUCCAUGUGUAGCGGUGAAAUGCGCAGAGAUAUGGAGGAACACCAGUGGCGAAGGCGACUUUCUGGUCUGUAACUGACGCUGAUGUGCGAAAGCGUGGGGAGCAAACAGGAUUAGAUACCCCUGUAGUCCCUGUCUCUUAUAC